RNAcentral lists this ribosomal RNA (492 nucleotides) under uncultured bacterium. Its description in RNAcentral is "partial 16S ribosomal RNA". It matches the Rfam family "Bacterial small subunit ribosomal RNA", at positions 29 to 507 of the family's 1533-position model. The record is from RNAcentral.
AGUGAACUCUGGCGGUAGGCCUAACACAUGCAAGUCGAACGGCAGCACAGUAAGAGCUUGCUCUUACGGGUGGCGAGUUGCGGACGGGUGAGGAAUACAUCGGAAUCUACUUUUUCGUGGGGGAUAACGUAGGUAAACUUACGCUAAUACCGCAUACGACCUACGGGUGAAAGCAGAGGAUCUUCGGACCUUUCGCUAUUGAAUGAGCCGAUGUCGGAUUAUCUAGUUGGCGGGGUAAAGGCCCACCAAGGCGACGAUCCGUAGCUGGUCUGAGAGGAUGAUCAGCAAAACUGGAACUGAGACACGGUCCAGACUCCUACGGGAGGCAGCAGUGGGGAAUAUUGGACAAUGGGCGCAAGCCUGAUCCAGCCAUACCGCGUGGGUGAAGAAGGCCUUCGGGUUGUAAAGCCCUUUUGUUGGGAAAGAAAAGCAGCAGGUUAAUACCCCGCUGUUCUGACGGUACCCAAAGAAUAAGCACCGGCUAACUUCGUG